RNAcentral lists this ribosomal RNA (800 nucleotides) under uncultured bacterium. Its description in RNAcentral is "bacterial SSU rRNA". It matches the Rfam family "Bacterial small subunit ribosomal RNA", at positions 8 to 807 of the family's 1533-position model. The record is from RNAcentral.
AGAGUUUGAUUCUGGCUCAGGAUGAACGCUGGCGGCGUGCUUAACACAUGCAAGUCGAACGGAGAUCAAUUCAACAGAGACUUCGGUUGAAGCUGUUUUGAUCCUAGUGGCGGACGGGUGAGUAACGCGUGGGUAACCUGCCUCACACUGGGGGAUAACAGUCAGAAAUGACUGCUAAUACCGCAUAAGCGCACAGCAUCGCAUGAUGCAGUGUGAAAAACUCCGGUGGUGUGAGAUGGACCCGCGUUGGAUUAGCUGGUUGGCAGGGCAGCGGCCUACCAAGGCGACGAUCCAUGGCCGGCCUGAGAGGGUGAACGGCCACAUUGGGACUGAGACACGGCCCAGACUCCUACUGGAGGCAGCAGUGGGGAAUAUUGCACAAUGGGGGAAACCCUGAUGCAGCGACGCCGCGUGAAGGAAGAAGUAUCUCGGUAUGUAAACUUCUAUCAGCAGGGAAGAUAAUGACGGUACCUGACUAAGAAGCCCCGGCUAACUACGUGCCAGCAGCCGCGGUAAUACGUAGGGGGCAAGCGUUAUCCGGAUUUACUGGGUGUAAAGGGAGCGUAGACGGCGCGUUAAGUCUGAUGUGAAAGGCAGGGGCUCAACUCCUGGACUGCAUUGGAAACUGGCGUGCUUGAGUGCCGGAGAGGUAAGCGGAAUUCCUAGUGUAGCGGUGAAAUGCGUAGAUAUUAGGAGGAACACCAGUGGCGAAGGCGGCUUACUGGACGGUAACUGACGUUGAGGCUCGAAAGCGUGGGGAGCAAACAGGAUUAGAUACCCUGGUAGUCCACGCCGUAAAC